GGGGCCUAAGGACACUCUGCUUGGCCAGGCUUCAAGGCCGAAUGGCUGGCAGUGAAGGACGAGCGUCUGUACGUGGGCGGCCUGGGCAAGGAGUGGACGACCACUACGGGUGAUGUGGUGAACGAGAACCCGGAGUGGGUGAAGGUGGUGGGCUACAAGGGCAGCGUGGACCACGAGAACUGGGUGUCCAACUACAACGCCCUGCGGGCUGCUGCCGGCAUCCAGCCGCCAGGCUACCUCAUCCAUGAGUCUGCCUGCUGGAGUGACACGCUGCAGCGCUGGUUCUUCCUGCCGCGCCGCGCCAGCCAGGAGCGCUACAGCGAGAAGGACGACGAGCGCAAGGGCGCCAACCUGCUGCUGAGCGCCUCC
Molecule: long non-coding RNA, 369 nt
Filed under: Homo sapiens (human)
Lineage: Eukaryota; Metazoa; Chordata; Mammalia; Primates; Hominidae
Description: non-protein coding lnc-LGALS3BP-3:1
Source: RNAcentral